UACGAAGGGUGCAAGCGUUACUCGGAAUUACUGGGCGUAAAGCGUGCGUAGGUGGUUCGUUAAGUCUGAUGUGAAAGCCCUGGGCUCAACCUGGGAAUGGCAUUGGAUACUGGCGACCUAGAGUGCGGUAGAGGGGUGUGGAAUUCCCGGUGUAGCAGUGAAAUGCGUAGAUAUCGGGAGGAACAUCUGUGGCGAAGGCGACACCCUGGACCAGCACUGACACUGAGACGCGAAAGCGUGGGGAGCAAACAGG
RNAcentral lists this ribosomal RNA (253 nucleotides) under uncultured bacterium. RNAcentral describes it as "partial 16S ribosomal RNA". It matches the Rfam family "Bacterial small subunit ribosomal RNA", at positions 524 to 776 of the family's 1533-position model. The record is from RNAcentral.